Natronomonas moolapensis 8.8.11 is the source of this 74-nucleotide transfer RNA. It matches the Rfam family "tRNA". Rfam says of the family: Transfer RNA (tRNA) molecules are approximately 80 nucleotides in length. Their secondary structure includes four short double-helical elements and three loops (D, anti-codon, and T loops). Further hydrogen bonds mediate the characteristic L-shaped molecular structure. tRNAs have two regions of fundamental functional importance: the anti-codon, which is responsible for specific mRNA codon recognition, and the 3' end, to which the tRNAs corresponding amino acid is attached (by aminoacyl-tRNA synthetases). tRNAs cope with the degeneracy of the genetic code in two manners: having more than one tRNA (with a specific anti-codon) for a particular amino acid; and 'wobble' base-pairing, i.e. permitting non-standard base-pairing at the 3rd anti-codon position. The record is from Rfam. NCBI's taxonomy places the organism in Archaea, Methanobacteriati, Methanobacteriota, Halobacteria, Halobacteriales, Natronomonadaceae.
GCCAGGGGAGCUUGGGUGGUUCAAGCACCCGACUUGUAAUCGGGAGUUCGUGCGUUCAAAUCGCACCCCUGGCU